Molecule: small nuclear RNA, 107 nt
Filed under: Propithecus coquereli (Coquerel's sifaka)
Lineage: Eukaryota; Metazoa; Chordata; Mammalia; Primates; Indriidae
Source: RNAcentral
GUGCUCACUUCAGCAGCACAUAUACUAAAACUGGAACAAUACGGAGAAGAUUAGCAUGGCCCCCGCACAAGGAUGAUACGCAAAUUCGUGAAGUGUUCCAUAUUUCU